GGCGGGCCCCCUCGCAUCGGUGUGCCGUGAACCUGGUCAGGUCGGGAACGAAGCAGCCAUAGCGGAGUGCAUCGAGUGCCGAGGACAAGGCUCGCCUUU
This 99-nucleotide signal recognition particle RNA is filed under the name Betaproteobacteria bacterium. RNAcentral describes it as "signal recognition particle sRNA small type". It matches the Rfam family "Bacterial small signal recognition particle RNA". Rfam says of the family: The signal recognition particle (SRP) is a universally conserved ribonucleoprotein involved in the co-translational targeting of proteins to membranes. Archaeal SRP consists of a 7S RNA and homologues of the eukaryotic SRP19 and SRP54 proteins. The record is from RNAcentral. Lineage: Bacteria; Pseudomonadati; Pseudomonadota; Betaproteobacteria. RNAcentral also lists the same sequence under 1 other name.